Molecule: long non-coding RNA, 896 nt
Organism: Lineus longissimus
Lineage: Eukaryota; Metazoa; Nemertea; Pilidiophora; Heteronemertea; Lineidae
Exons: 3
Source: RefSeq, a predicted model, not a curated record
UGCCCGGAUGGUGUGACGCGAAAUGUAUUGUCUUCGGUCAUGUCGGUCGCGGUUGAUUUGAACGCCAGUCAGUUGGAGUGUGAACUGCGUAGAAGAUCACCGGAACACUUUCUCCGAUUUCAAACAUAAAAUGCCUUCGAUAUUUCGGUAAUCAAGUCAAAACUGCUGCAGCAGAAGCGGUGAUGUACCAUGAGGCCGGCCUAUGAGAUGUGGUAGCGAGAAUGGUUGGUGUCAGUCUGCACAAGGACGAUGACGCAGUGUUAAGUUUGAACCGAAAGAAUGACCAAUUGCAUUCCCCGCGACUGACUCGCGGCAUCAUUCCAUCGAUGUAACAAGUCACCUGUCCUACUUCUCCAACCCACGGGACGAGGCCGCCAUGGAGACGAAAGUUAACAGUGGAUCAAGGGCACUCGUAUAUCAGGAUGAAUACGUGUAACAGUUUUAAAUGCCCUAGGAUAGAGUGUUCCGGGAAAGAAUGAUUUAUUUGCGCUUGAAGGUCAAGAGUCUCAGUAUACCCAUACCUUAGCCUGACAACAAUGAAUAAGAAGGACACUUUUUCCAGAUGAACAUUCAAAAAUGCUACACCGAUACGACAAUGGAAACAAUUUUCAUUUGAGAUAGAACCCUCGUGGACCAUUGCGACAUUUGCGGUCGGGUUCACAUACGAUUCACAUUGUCACGAUGUCGUGUUUCUCAUGUCACUUGCCUAAUAUAAUCCUACAAGGUGGCGCAUUAUCGCCCACUGCUGGGACUUUGUCUUGGCACGAUCUUCACUUUGGAAUAAAUUGAUCAGUUCAGGGCAGCCUAACCUGUCAUAUGAGUUGUCUGUCCCAUUCACAAACUUGAUCUUUAUUAUGCACUCAGCAGAUUAAAUCCAAUACUUGAAUAAAUUUCAA